RNAcentral lists this ribosomal RNA (492 nucleotides) under uncultured bacterium. Its description in RNAcentral is "partial 16S ribosomal RNA". It matches the Rfam family "Bacterial small subunit ribosomal RNA", at positions 29 to 507 of the family's 1533-position model. The record is from RNAcentral.
AUUGAGCGCUGGCGGCAUGCUUUACACAUGCAGGUCGAACGGUAACAGGCCUUCGGGUGCUGACGAGUGGCGAACGGGUGAGUAAUGCAUCGGAACGUACCCAGAGGUGGGGGAUAACGCAGCGAAAGCUGUGCUAAUACCGCAUGUGAUCUGAGGAUGAAAGCGGGGGACCGAGCAGCAAUGUUUGGCCUCGCGCCUUUGGAGCGGCCGAUGUCGGAUUAGCUAGUUGGUGGGGUAAAGGCCUACCAAGGCGACGAUCCGUAGCUGGUCUGAGAGGACGACCAGCCACACUGGGACUGAGACACGGCCCAGACUCCUACGGGAGGCAGCAGUGGGGAAUUUUGGACAAUGGGCGCAAGCCUGAUCCAGCAAUGCCGCGUGCGGGAAGAAGGCCUUCGGGUUGUAAACCGCUUUUGGCAGGAACGAAACGGUGUCCGCUAAUACCGGGCGCUAAUGACGGUACCUGCAGAAUAAGCACCGGCUAACUACGUG